This 1089-nucleotide ribosomal RNA is filed under the name Coniothyrium pyrinum. Its description in RNAcentral is "SSU rRNA". It matches the Rfam family "Eukaryotic small subunit ribosomal RNA", at positions 41 to 1142 of the family's 1831-position model. Lineage: Eukaryota; Fungi; Ascomycota; Dothideomycetes; Pleosporales; Coniothyriaceae. The record is from RNAcentral.
AGAUAAGCCUGCAUGUCUAAGUAUAAGCAAUUAUACCGUGAAACUGCGAAUGGCUCAUUAAAUCAGUUAUCGUUUAUUUGAUAGUACCUUACUACUUGGAUAACCGUGGUAAUUCUAGAGCUAAUACAUGCUGAAAACCCCAACUUCGGGAGGGGUGUAUUUAUUAGAUAAAAAACCAACGCCCUUCGGGGCUUCUUGGUGAUUCAUGAUAACUUCACGGAUCGCAUGGCCUUGCGCCGGCGACGGUUCAUUCAAAUUUCUGCCCUAUCAACUUUCGAUGGUAAGGUAUUGGCUUACCAUGGUUUCAACGGGUAACGGGGAAUUAGGGUUCGAUUCCGGAGAGGGAGCCUGAGAAACGGCUACCACAUCCAAGGAAGGCAGCAGGCGCGCAAAUUACCCAAUCCCGACACGGGGAGGUAGUGACAAUAAAUACUGAUACAGGGCUCUUUUGGGUCUUGUAAUUGGAAUGAGUACAAUUUAAACCUCUUAACGAGGAACAAUUGGAGGGCAAGUCUGGUGCCAGCAGCCGCGGUAAUUCCAGCUCCAAUAGCGUAUAUUAAAGUUGUUGCAGUUAAAAAGCUCGUAGUUGAAACUUGGGCCUGGCUGGCAGGUCCGCCUCACCGCGUGUACUUGUCCGGCCGGGCCUUUCCUUCUGGAGAACCUCAUGCCCUUCACUGGGUGUGUUGGGGAACCAGGACUUUUACUUUGAAAAAAUUAGAGUGUUCAAAGCAGGCCUUUGCUCGAAUACGUUAGCAUGGAAUAAUAGAAUAGGACGUGCGGUCCUAUUUUGUUGGUUUCUAGGACCGCCGUAAUGAUUAAUAGGGACAGUCGGGGGCAUCAGUAUUCAAUUGUCAGAGGUGAAAUUCUUGGAUUUAUUGAAGACUAACUACUGCGAAAGCAUUUGCCAAGGAUGUUUUCAUUAAUCAGUGAACGAAAGUUAGGGGAUCGAAGACGAUCAGAUACCGUCGUAGUCUUAACCGUAAACUAUGCCGACUAGGGAUCGGGCGAUGUUCUUUUUCUGACUCGCUCGGCACCUUACGAGAAAUCAAAGUUUUUGGGUCUGGGGGGAGUAUGGUCGCAAGUGAAUAG